GAGAUUAUAGGUAUUUUCAGAGAUGGUUUCUGAUUCACUUAAGCUGAAAAACGGAUGUUUGUAUAUUGCAUGCGUCAAAUUAAAUCUAUAACAACUGUGUCACAAGUCAAUGAAAAAGAUGAAUGAUUCCUAUUAAGCUGGUGACCAAGAUUAAUCAUAGAAGACAGAUCAGGGUGAUUUAGUCCCAUUAGCAUCGUGUUACGGAGGAACUUCACCACAUCCAAUUCAUUUCUAUACACUUACUUAGGAUGGCAUAGGCAGUAUGCAAA
RNAcentral lists this long non-coding RNA (269 nucleotides) under Elaeis guineensis (African oil palm). Its description in RNAcentral is "long non-coding RNA (EGUI_LNC016479)". Lineage: Eukaryota; Viridiplantae; Streptophyta; Magnoliopsida; Arecales; Arecaceae. The record is from RNAcentral.